Molecule: ribosomal RNA, 675 nt
Filed under: uncultured bacterium
Lineage: Bacteria
Description: bacterial SSU rRNA
Rfam family: Bacterial small subunit ribosomal RNA
Source: RNAcentral
UNUGACUUGAGUGCAGAAGGGGAGAGUGGAAUUCCAUGUGUAGCGGUGAAAUGCGUAGAUAUAUGGAGGAACACCNGUGGCGAAAGCGGCUCUCUGGUCUGUCACUGACGCUGAGGCUCGAAAGCGUGGGUAGCGAACAGGAUUAGAUACCCUGGUAGUCCACGCCGUAAACGAUGAGUGCUAGGUGUUAGGCCCNUUCCGGGGCUUAGUGCCGGAGCUAACGCAAUAAGCACUCCGCCUGGGGAGUACGACCGCAAGGUUGAAACUCAAAGGAAUUGACGGGGGCCCGCACAAGCGGUGGAGCAUGUGGUUUAAUUCGAAGCAACGCGAAGAACCUUACCAGGUCUUGACAUCCCGAUGCUAUUCUUAGAGAUAGGAAGUUACUUCGGUACAUCGGAGACAGGUGGUGCAUGGUUGUCGUCAGCUCGUGUCGUGAGAUGUUGGGUUAAGUCCCGCAACGAGCGCAACCCUUAUUGUUAGUUGCCAUCAUUAAGUUGGGCACUCUAGCGAGACUGCCGGUAAUAAACCGGAGGAAGGUGGGGAUGACGUCAAAUCAUCAUGCCCCUUAUGACCUGGGCUACACACGUGCUACAAUGGUCGGUACAACGAGUUGCGAGCCGGUGACGGCAAGCUAAUCUCUGAAAGCCGAUCUCAGUUCGGAUUGGAGGCUGCAAC